This 305-nucleotide ribosomal RNA is filed under the name uncultured bacterium. RNAcentral describes it as "bacterial SSU rRNA". It matches the Rfam family "Bacterial small subunit ribosomal RNA", at positions 338 to 643 of the family's 1533-position model. The record is from RNAcentral.
CCUACGGGAGGCAGCAGUGGGGAAUAUUGCACAAUGGGGGAAACCCUGAUGCAGCGACGCCGCGUGAGUGAAGAAGUAUUUCGGUAUGUAAAGCUCUAUCAGCAGGGAAGAGAUAGCGACCUUUGGGUCGCCAGACGGUACCUGACUAAGAAGCCCCGGCUAACUACGUGCCAGCAGCCGCGGUAAUACGUAGGGGGCAAGCGUUAUCCGGAUUUACUGGGUGUAAAGGGUGCGUAGGCGGAUUUUUAAGUCAGCGGUAAAAUGUCCGGCCUCAACCCGGGCCGGCCGUUGAAACUGGGGAUCUU